Onychomys torridus (southern grasshopper mouse) is the source of this 79-nucleotide small nucleolar RNA. RefSeq annotates it as small nucleolar RNA SNORD115. Lineage: Eukaryota; Metazoa; Chordata; Mammalia; Rodentia; Cricetidae. The transcript has a single exon. The record is from RefSeq and is a predicted model, not a curated record.
GGGACUAUGAUGACAAACCUAUGUCAUAAAGAGAGAUAGUGACAUAAAAAUCAUGCUCAAAAGAAUGAUGCUGAGGCCC